GACGAACGCUGGCGGCGUGCUUAACACAUGCAAGUCGAACGGGGAAUAUUUUAGCUUGCUAUGGUAUUUCUAGUGGCGAACGGGUGAGUAACGCGUAGGCAACCUGCCCUUGGGAUGGGGACAACAGGCCGAAAGGCCUGCUAAUACCGAAUGAAGUGGGGGAACCGCAUGGGAUUCCCAUGAAAGAUGGCCUCUAUAUAUAAGCUAUCACCCAAGGAUGGGCCUGCGUCUGAUUAGCUAGUUGGUGGGGUAAAGGCCUACCAAGGCGACGAUCAGUAGCCGGUCUGAGAGGAUGAACGGCCACAUUGGGACUGAGACACGGCCCAGACUCC
This 332-nucleotide ribosomal RNA is filed under the name uncultured Veillonellaceae bacterium. Its description in RNAcentral is "bacterial SSU rRNA". It matches the Rfam family "Bacterial small subunit ribosomal RNA", at positions 28 to 339 of the family's 1533-position model. Lineage: Bacteria; Bacillati; Bacillota; Negativicutes; Veillonellales; Veillonellaceae. The record is from RNAcentral.